This 492-nucleotide ribosomal RNA is filed under the name uncultured bacterium. RNAcentral's name for it is "partial 16S ribosomal RNA". It matches the Rfam family "Bacterial small subunit ribosomal RNA", at positions 30 to 507 of the family's 1533-position model. The record is from RNAcentral.
AUUGAACGCUGGCGGCAUGCUUUACACAUGCAAGUCGAACGGUAACAGGCCUUCGGGUGCUGACGAGUGGCGAACGGGUGAGUAAUGCAUCGGAACGUGCCCAGAGGUGGGGGAUAACGCAGCGAAAGCUGUGCUAAUACCGCAUGUGAUCUGAGGAUGAAAGCGGGGGACCAAGCAGCAAUGUUUGGCCUCGCGCCUCUGGAGCGGCCGAUGUCAGAUUAGGUAGUUGGUGGGGUAAAGGCCUACCAAGCCGACGAUCUGUAGCUGGUCUGAGAGGACGACCAGCCACACUGGGACUGAGACACGGCCCAGACUCCUACGGGAGGCAGCAGUGGGGAAUUUUGGACAAUGGGCGCAAGCCUGAUCCAGCAAUGCCGCGUGCGGGAAGAAGGCCUUCGGGUUGUAAACCGCUUUUGUACGGAACGAAAAGGCUCUGGUUAAUACCUGGGGCUGAUGACGGUACCGUAAGAAUAAGCACCGGCUAACUACGUG